GAUGAACGCUGGCGGCGUGCCUAAUACAUGCAAGUCGAGCGAAUGGAUUAAGAGCUUGCUCUUAUGAAGUUAGCGGCGGACGGGUGAGUAACACGUGGGUAACCUGCCCAUAAGACUGGGAUAACUCCGGGAAACCGGGGCUAAUACCGGAUAACAUUUUGAACCGCAGGGUUCGAAAUUGAAAGGUGGCUUCGGCUGUCACUUAUGGAUGGACCCGCGUCGCAUUAGCUAGUUGGUGAGGUAACGGCUCACCAAGGCAACGAUGCGUAGCCGACGUGAGGGGGUGAUCGGCCACACUGGGACUGAGACACGGCCCAGACUCCUACCGGAGGCAGCAGUAGGGAAUCUUCCGCAAUGGACGAAAGUCUGACGGAGCAACGCUGCUGGAGUGAUGAAGGCUUUCGGGUCGUAAAACUCUGUUGUUAGGGAAGAACAAGUGCUAGUUGAAUAAGCUAGCACCUUGACGGUACCUAACCAGAAAGCCACGGCUAACUACGUGCCAGCCGCCGCGGUAA
This 515-nucleotide ribosomal RNA is filed under the name uncultured bacterium. Its description in RNAcentral is "partial 16S ribosomal RNA". It matches the Rfam family "Bacterial small subunit ribosomal RNA", at positions 28 to 523 of the family's 1533-position model. The record is from RNAcentral.